GAGUCCACCAACCCACGAGGAAAAACGCCGAAUCCCACCAGAAUUCCCGGCGCGUCGAAAACCACGCGAGAAGAGAGCCCGGGGCGAAAAUCGAGGAGCGAAUUAUCGGAGAGGUUGGCACGCGUGAGUCAAUGUUUGUGUGCCCCACGCGCGUCCACCCGGCAUCGCUCUCGCCUCCAAAAGCUACAUGUUUUUGUUAAUUUAGGUUAGGCUUGGGAAGAGGAAGUACACAAUGAGUUUUGAGUCAUCUAGCAGCCCCAGCUCAGCGCUCCCCGAUGGGGAAACGCGAACAAACCUUAUCAUCAACUACCUGCCACAGACUCUCACCGACCAAGAGUUUUACAAGAUAUUUGUUGUUGUCGGGCCCAUCAAAAACUGCCGCAUUAUGAAGGAUUUAAAGCAGACUGGCUACUCCUUCGGGUUCGGCUUUGUGGAGUACCAGAAGCCUGAGGACGCUGCCAAGGCCAUCCUGCAGUUGAACAACCUCCCUGUGCAGCACAAACGCAUCAAGGUCUCCUACGCCCGGCCCCCCGGCGAGGACAUCAAGGAAACCAACCUCUACAUUCAGAAUAUUCCCAGAAAGGAAACAGACUCCAAGGAAACAAACCUUUACAUUGCGAAUGUUCCAAGAUCAUACACAUUAGACCAGUUAGAGGAACUGUUCUCUUCAUAUGGCCAGAUUGUCCAGAAGAAUUUGCUGAAGGACAAGGUUACAGGACUUCCACGUGGCGUUGGAUUUGUGAGGUUUGAUAAGAAGUCUCAGGCAGAAGCGGCGAUUGUGGGCAUGAAUGGCGUUGUUCCUGAGGGCGGGACUGAGCCCCUAGUGGUUAAGGUAGCAGAGGAGCACGGCAAAAUGAAGGCUGCCUACUACGCUGGUUACCAUGCUGGCCUCAGCACCACGAGAGGUGGCGGCGGUGUCGGUCGAGGGCGUGGUAACUACAACAACCGAGGGGGAGGUGGUGGUGGCUACCAGGGACGAGGGAACUACAAUAAUAUGUAUCAUCACAGGUGGUACUAAGCCGAGGAGUGGAAGGUGAUGCCAGCGCCACCCGCCCCCAUCCUCCUCGCAAGCAGCAGGGUGGUAAGAUAGCCCCGGACCGAACCGCCAACCGCUACAACCCGAUUGGCAGCGGCGGCGGCUAUGGCGGUGGGUACGGAGGUGGGUAUGGCAGUGGCGGGAGUUCCUUGGGCUACUCCAACGAUGCGGCUGGCCAAUCCUCAUUCUACAGCUUCUCCACGCCUUCCUUCAGUGGGGGAAAUUACACAUCGUUCUCCGGCAUGAGUAAUAACUCUGGUGGCGGCGGCUACAGUAGGUACUGAAGCCCAGCCCCGUGUCAAACAACAGCAACAACAACAAAACGUGUUCUAUGAGUGACAAGGGAAAAAAAAAAAAAAAAGAAUGGCUUUCACGCGGGGAGCUCUUUCAAUGAAUGACUAAAAAAAAGGCAAAAAAAUACAAAAAAAUGAGUAAGGAUUAAGUAACACGAUGAAAGAUUAAAACAAAACAAAUAAGGAAUUACACAAAGCAAUUUCAUGUUUUUUGUAGAUGGAAAUACUAAACUAAAAAAGAGGAAAAAUACACAGAGCUAUCAACCUAUUACCAUGGUUUUUAGAGAAAGUUUUUAUCAUCUUAUUUUUGUUGUAAGAGUGUAUUAUGUAUUCUAUGAAGUCACUGUUGGUCAUUUUUCCCACACGAGAAGUGGCAUCGUGCAUAAACCUUCUUAAGAUGUUGCAUCGAUGGCUACAAAAACUAGUUUAAAACUAAACAAAAAAAAAAAAGUUAAGAUGAUAUUGUUUAUACCAUGAAAUAUUCAGGCUUUAUUGUCAUUUCCAGAAAAAAAAUGUGCUAUGCAUUUUAAAUGCUUAGAUCUCUGGUGUAGUUGUCUUCAGAAAUUAUUUUCCUUUUCUGUUUAUUGCACUUUAAAAAAUUUUUGAGCUCUGUUUGUAUUUUAGUAGAAACUGGAAGUCCAUUAUUAUAAUAAAUAAUUUUUUAAAGAGUAUGAUUUUCCAAAAUCCUAAAAUGAGUUAUAUUUUUUUCUUUGAAGUAAAAAGCAAUGCUGAAUGUCACUCAAUUGAGAGAAUUUUUUGCUUUUGAUUUUUCUAGUUUCAUUUUCUUGUUUUAUGUUUCUGUGUGACUAGUGACAGGAAUUGAUGCCACAGCCAGGACUCUGCCUUUGCACCGAAGGGCAGGCGGUUUUUUUCGUUUUGUUUUUAUCUUUUCCGAUGACUUCGUUUGAUUUUUUUGUGAAUAUAUUAACCAACGAAAAUGUCGGACGAGUGUUCUUCAUUAAGUAUUUUAUUCUACUGUGGAUUUCCCUGCGGCAGACACGCACGCCCCUGUUGUUGUCACCGCAGUAGCUAGAUGAUGUCAUUCAUGAUGGUUAUUAUGCUGUAGUAUUAUUCAUAUAACCUAUAAUUACAUAAUUGAUGGUUUCAUGUAUCUUUUUCCAUAUAUUGUGUUCUUUGAUGCUUGAGAAAUAAAAAAAUAAAAAAAAAAUUGAUUUUUUUGGUACAAUAAGGUGUUCUCUAAGUUUUUUCAUUAAAAGUGUUGGACUGAUUAUUUUCUUCAUAAUGUUAUAUUGGUCGGUAGCAACCAUACCUGAACAUAUUGUAAGAUUUUUUUUGUUCUCGAUGAAAAAAAAACUCAACAAAUGUUUUGUACAGUGCAACAUUAUUUUUGCUCACACUGUAAUAAGUUACUUGACAGAUAUAUUUAAUAAAGUGAAACUAUCAA
Molecule: unclassified non-coding RNA, 2734 nt
Filed under: Penaeus monodon (black tiger shrimp)
Lineage: Eukaryota; Metazoa; Arthropoda; Malacostraca; Decapoda; Penaeidae
Description: sex-lethal homolog, transcript variant X14
Source: RNAcentral